UGAAGCCUGAUCUGAGUAGUAGGAGUGGAACUGAGGCUUCAAAGGUAUCACCAACUGCCUCUGCCAAUACCCAUGGAUCGGGUCUGCUAAUGAGAGAUAAUCAUACUGUGCAAGAAACAGAUCAAGAGGAUGAUAAUAUUUCAGCAUCCACGGAUAGGUUAUCAUCUCCAAGGCAUACAAUGCUGGAGAAAUGGAUUCUGGAUCAACGGAAAAGGAAGCUUAUUAGUGAACAGAAAUGGUCGAAAAAACAGCAAAAA
RNAcentral lists this unclassified non-coding RNA (257 nucleotides) under Hevea brasiliensis (rubber tree). Lineage: Eukaryota; Viridiplantae; Streptophyta; Magnoliopsida; Malpighiales; Euphorbiaceae. The record is from RNAcentral.